This 72-nucleotide transfer RNA is filed under the name Ictidomys tridecemlineatus (thirteen-lined ground squirrel). RNAcentral's name for it is "Spermophilus tridecemlineatus (thirteen-lined ground squirrel) tRNA". It matches the Rfam family "tRNA". From Rfam's summary of the family: Transfer RNA (tRNA) molecules are approximately 80 nucleotides in length. RNAcentral also lists the same sequence under 1 other name. The record is from Rfam by way of RNAcentral. Lineage: Eukaryota; Metazoa; Chordata; Mammalia; Rodentia; Sciuridae.
GGGGUUGUGGCUCAGUGGUAGAGUGCUCGCCUAGCAUGUGUGAGGCCCUGGGUUUGAUCCUCAGCAUCACAU